This 2721-nucleotide ribosomal RNA is filed under the name Drosophila virilis. Its description in RNAcentral is "eukaryotic LSU rRNA". The stretch from base 542 to 2721 matches the Rfam family "Eukaryotic large subunit ribosomal RNA", at positions 1 to 1671 of the family's 3401-position model. The record is from RNAcentral. Lineage: Eukaryota; Metazoa; Arthropoda; Insecta; Diptera; Drosophilidae.
AUCACUCUAAGCGGUGGAUCACUCGGCUCAUGGGUCGAUGAAGAACGCAGGAAACUGUGCGUCAUCGUGUGAACUGCAGGACACAUGAACAUCGACAUUUUGAACGCAUAUCGCAGUCCAUGCUGUUUUGUACUUUAAUUAAUUUUACAGUGCUGCUUGGACUACAUAUGGUUGAGGGUUGUAAGACUUUGCUAAUUAAGUUGUUUAAAAUUUUUCGAAGUUUUAAGCAUAUGGUAUAUUAUUGGAUAGAUUAUGUGUGUCCCUGAUAUGCAUAAAUUAUUCAUAAUAAAUAUAUAUAUGGAUGUACUACUCAUUGUAUAUUUUGUAUGAGAAAACUGAAGAAUUAUAUUUUCUUUUUUCAAAUCAAAUAAAACUGAGGAAUGUCUAGCAUAAAAGAAAAAUAUAUUUUUCCUUAAUCUAGAACUGCCUCUUAUUAAUGAUGUGUGAUAAAAGAAUUGUUGUAAAAUUUAUGAAACUUCAGAACAAAAGUAUUAUUCAUUAUAUUGAACAAUAAAUAAUGUUCAAUUAACAUUGUUUUAUACAACCUCAACUCAUAUGGAACUACCCCCUGAAUUUAAGCAUAUUAAUUAGGGGAGGAAAAUAAACUAACGGCGAGCGAAAAGAAACCAGUUCAGCACUAAGUCACUUUGUGUAUAUGGCAAAUGUGAGAUGCAGUGUACGGAACAUCAAUAUUCUAGUAUGAGAAGUUAACGAUUUAAGUCCUUCUUAAAUGAGGCCAUUUACCCAUAGAGGGUGCCAGGCCCGUAUAACGUUAAUGAUUACUAGAUGGUGUUUCCAAAGAGUCGUGUUGCUUGAUAGUGCAGCACUAAGUGGGUGGUAAACUCCAUCUAAAACUAAAUAUAACCAUGAGACCGAUAGUAAACAAGUACCGUGAGGGAAAGUUGAAAAGAACUCUGAAUAGAGAGUUAAAUAGUACGUGAAACUGCUUAGAGGUUAAGCCCGAUGAACCUGAAUAUCCGUUAUGGAAAAUUCAUCAUUAGAAUUGUAAUAUUUUAAACAAUAUUAUAAUAAUAGUGUGCAUUUUUUCCAUAUAAGGACAUUGUAAUCUAUUAGCAUAAAUAUUUAUCAUAAAAUUAUGUCUGAUUGCUUAUUUGAAUUAUAUGCUUGGCAUUUUAACAUAAAAUAAAAGAUAUAAAUUUGAUAAAGUGCUGAUAGAUUUAUAUGAUUACAGUGCGUUAAUUUUUCGGAAUUAUAUAAUGGCAUAAUUAUCAUUGAUAUUUGUGUUUAUUAUAUGCAUUUGUAUGAUUAACAAUGCGAAAGAUUCAGGAUACCUUCGGGACCCGUCUUGAAACACGGACCAAGGAGUCUAACAUAUGUGCAAGUUAUUGGGAUAUAAACCUAAUAGCGUAAUUAACUUGACUAUUAAUGGGAUUAGUUUUUUAACUAUUUAUAGUUAAUUAACGCAAUCCCGGGGCGCUCUAUAUAGUUAUGUAUAAUAAUAUUUAUAUUAUUUAUGCCUCUAACUGGAACGUACCUGGAGCAUAUAUGCUGUGACCCGAAAGAUGGUGAACUAUACUUGAUCAGGUGGAAGUCAGGGGAAACCCUGAUGGAAGACCGAAACAGUUCUGACGUGCAAAUCGAUUGUCAGAAUUGAGUAUAGGGGCGAAAGACCAAUCGAACCAUCUAGUAGCUGGUUCCUUCCGAAGUUUCCCUCAGGAUAGCUGGUGCAUUUAACUGUUGUAUAAAAUAAUCUUAUCUGGUAAAGCGAAUGAUUAUAGGCCUUAGGAUCGAAACGAUCUUAACCUAUUCUCAAACUUUAAAUGGGUAAAAGCUUAACUUUCUUGAUAUGAAGUUUAAGGUUAUGAUAUAAUGUGCCCACUUUUGGGUGGGUCACUUUUGGUAAGCAGAACUGGCGCUUUGGGAUGAACCAAACGUAAUGUUACGGUGCCCAAAUUAACAACUCAUACAGAAACCAUGAAAGACGUUGGUUGCUUAAAAUGGCAGGACGGUGAUCAUGGAAGUCAAAAUCCGCUAAGGAGUGUGUAACAACUCACCUGCCGAAGCAACUAGCCCUUAAAAUGGAUGGCGCUUAAGUUGUAUACCUAUACAUUACCGCUAAAGUAGAUGGUUUAUAUUACUUGUAAUAUAAAUUUUGAAACUUUAGUGAGUAGGAAGGUACAAUGGUGUGCAUAGAAGUGUUUGGCGUAAGCCUGCAUGGAGCCGCUAUUGGUACAGAUCUUGGUGGUAGUAGCAAAUAAUCGAAUGAGACCUUGGAGGACUGAAGUGGAGAAGGGUUUCGUGUGAACAGUGGUUGAUCACCAGUUAGUCGGUCCUAAGUUCAAGGCGAAAGCCGAAAAUCGCGCUUGCCCCAGCAUGGAGGAUAAUGGCCGAGGGGACAGGGGCGAUUAUAGCGGAGCUUUCGGCAGCUGCCGAAAUGACCCGCCUUGUCCUGGUGGGUGUCGCCCCCGAAGCCGCGCGCGAAGUGUCGGCAGCCGUUAAGCGAUUGGAGGAGCUGUCCACGUCGCUGGCAGUGCGGAACGGUUUGCUCGAGAGCCUGGCAGGCAGAUCGUCUGCAGCACAGCUCGCCGCCUCCACCCCAACUGCUGCUCACCAAGUCGUCCACCAAGUUGCCCACCAUGCUGCCCGCACCGCUGUCCCCGUCCCAGGAGUUCCGAUCGCUGCCCCACGGAUCAACAAGCCAGUUGAGACGUGGUCCACGGUGAUCACGAGUCGGGACCCGAGCGAGUCGGGCAAAAUGGU